UGAGGCACAAUGCCACAGAAAGCCACUGAUUUAAGUGCCCACGCAGGUUGCUCUCUCUUACUUCUCUGCAUAUCUAACAUGUUAUACAUGGAGGGAGGAGGACAAGAAAAAGGCAUCCCUGCUGAAAAUAAGAGACUGCUAUUCACACAAAUGGGGCAAUGGACCAGCAAACAAGUGUUACCAAUGGAAUGAGAAGAGCCCUUGACUUAAGAGCCCUUAAUACUUACAUACACAGUUAAGUAUGACUAUGGGGGUUGGGGGUGAAGGGGCUUGACAGCUUGAAAACUGCACACAGGUUGUUUAAGAUUUAUACCAGUGUGAUUGAUUAUACUCUUUCUGGGACCCAGUGGCUUUAGCUGAUGGUCUGUCCACCAGUGCAACAUGAGAACCUUGUCCCAAUGAAAAUGCCAGCCCUGAUAUCUGUUUCAGGCACCACAGCCGAUGGGCUACAGAUGGGAUAUCAUGGACCAAUUCGCCUUUAUCAGUCCGGAGAGAUUGUCGGCUGACGAGUAAUAAGUUGAGACCUUGAAGUUGUGAGAAAAGUUAAUGCAGAAAUAACUACUAUAACAGGGGUAAGAUUUUAUUGUUCUAAAGUUUUUUAAUUGUCUCAAGUAUUUUAGCCUUUUUCUAAGGGUAGUUUUAGAUGGUAUUAUCACUUUUACCUUUACAUUUUGUAUCUAUUUUUGUUUUUAACAGGUUGGUGAAAUUAAAGUACUCAUUGAUACAAUGUACUUAAUAUUAGAAUGUAUUUGGCUGUUUCUCUACAUUGUCUCGAUUUGACUUGACAAUAUGGCACUUAAUAAUGUAUACAAUGUACUUUUUUAUGUUUGUAUAUUUUUUAUGACUGGACACUAACUUUAAAGAGUACAUAAUCACCUGAAGAUUUGUGGAUUGCACUUGAAUCACCUGUGGAUACAACACUGAACUUUUUGAGAAUUUGCAUACCACAUCAGAUUGGAUGUGGAGAUCUAAUUGGCAGAAUGGGUGUGUUUAAAUGUUCACUGUGUAUCUGUGUGUGUUACACUUGAGAAAGGGCUUUAUUGGGCCCGAAACAUGUUGUGUUUCACAGAUUGAA
Long non-coding RNA from Xenopus laevis (African clawed frog), 1075 nucleotides. RefSeq lists it as uncharacterized. NCBI's taxonomy places the organism in Eukaryota, Metazoa, Chordata, Amphibia, Anura, Pipidae. The transcript is spliced from 3 exons. The record is from RefSeq and is a predicted model, not a curated record.